Molecule: long non-coding RNA, 298 nt
Organism: Oncorhynchus nerka (sockeye salmon)
Lineage: Eukaryota; Metazoa; Chordata; Actinopteri; Salmoniformes; Salmonidae
Exons: 3
Source: RefSeq, a predicted model, not a curated record
GCGCAGGCCAGGGGCAUUAAUAGAAUUCCCGUAAAGAAAAAUCGUCCCACGGCUGAAUGUAAUUGGGGACGUCUGCUAUAGGAUAUAUAAUCAUUAAUACCUGAGCACGCUCCUUUCAGAGACGCAGGAGAAACAAGUCAGCUCAGGGUGACCAUCUGUAACAUCUUACUUGUUACUACUACAACUGAACCAGCUACUACCACACCUGUAUCCAGCAUCAUGCUCCUUGUCAGACUGACUGCGUUCACCUUGCUGGCUGCAGUUUGCUGUACACUACCAGCUGCAGGUACGUUGGUGA